Molecule: long non-coding RNA, 419 nt
Filed under: Hordeum vulgare
Lineage: Eukaryota; Viridiplantae; Streptophyta; Magnoliopsida; Poales; Poaceae
Description: long non-coding RNA (HVUL_LNC021339)
Source: RNAcentral
CCAUGUGCUUUAACUGCUGAGUAUCUCCACCUUUACAUGACAGCAACUGCACAUGGCCGGGUAGCAAAUGAGUUGCAUUUGUUGCUCGCCUGAGAGCUAGCCGCAAGACUUGUAUCGUACGUGAUUUUAUUACAGUGUGAACAUGAUUGCUCGACCAUGGCAUGCGAAUCCUGGGCUGCGGCACCGCACGAUCUGCUCAACUCGGAAAGGCUCGAUGGAAAAUAAUAUUUGCACCGUUCUGAUGCAACACGAAUCACCCUGAUGGUGUCUUGGGCGGCAGGAUUGCUGUCAGAUUUGACGCGCUGCGGCGCUGUUAGCCAAGAGGCCGUGAUUGUAGAUAUAAUGAGAUGAUAGGAACGCCAUGUUUCUGCUUGUCGAGAUGGUGUGUGGCUGAACAAAGAGGAAAGGAUUGAUCUAGG